This 534-nucleotide unclassified non-coding RNA is filed under the name Lipomyces kononenkoae. Its description in RNAcentral is "sequence contains 18S rRNA gene, ITS1, 5.8S rRNA gene, ITS2, 28S rRNA gene". The stretch from base 146 to 299 matches the Rfam family "5.8S ribosomal RNA". The record is from RNAcentral. Lineage: Eukaryota; Fungi; Ascomycota; Lipomycetes; Lipomycetales; Lipomycetaceae.
UCGUAACAAGGUUUCCGUAGGUGAACCUGCGGAAGGAUCAUUACUGAGUAUUUGUCUUUUUUAGACAUCUCUCUAUCCAUAAACUCUUUUUUAUAAAGACAUGAUUUAUAACAAUUAGUCUGAAUGAUUAUUUUUAAAUCUUCAAAACUUUCAACAACGGAUCUCUUGGUUCUCGCAUCGAUGAAGAACGCAGCAAAUUGCGAUAAGUAAUGUGAAUUGCAGGAUUUUGUGAAUCAUCGAAUUUUUGAACGCACAUUGCACCUUCUGGUAUUCCGGAGGGUAUACCUGUUUGAGCGUCAUUUAUAUACUCAAAACUUAUGUUUUGGUUAUGGGCACGCAUCUGGCGUCAGCUAGAUUUGCCUGAAAUAUAGUGGUAGAGAUCGCUAGAAGUGAUGCAAGUUAGCCAAUGCUAUUAAAAUUAAUUCGUUGGCGACGCAUGUUGAGCUUUUGGUGACGUCUUCCUUAAUUAUUGGAAUAUUAUUCUAAUUUUGACCUCAAAUCAGGCAGGAGUACCCGCUGAACUUAAGCAUAUCA